Molecule: ribosomal RNA, 264 nt
Filed under: uncultured archaeon
Lineage: Archaea
Description: partial 16S ribosomal RNA
Rfam family: Archaeal small subunit ribosomal RNA
Source: RNAcentral
ACAGUCACACAUUAGAUACCCGGGUAGUCCUGGCCGUAAACGAUGUGGACUUGGUGUUGGAAUGGCUCCGAGCUGCUCCAGUGCCGAAGGGAAGCUGUUAAGUCCACCGCCUGGGAAGUACGGUCGCAAGACUGAAACUUAAAGGAAUUGGCGGGGAGCACCACAACGGGUGGAGCCUGCGGUUUAAUUGGAUUCAACGCCGGACAUCUCACCGGAUAAGACAGCUGAAUGAUUGUCAAUCUGAAGGUUUUACAUGACUAGCUG